UUGUUCUUUAAAUGAGGACUAGAAUCAACGGCACCACGAGGAUCCUACUGUCUCCCUACUCCAAUCAGUGAAACUGAUCUCUCCGUGAAGAAGCGGGGAUACAAAUAUAAGACGAGAAGACCCCAUGGAGCUUUAAACCCAACGACACCCAUUUUCUUUAUACCCUAGUAUUCAUUUGGCUAUGUUUGAUUGGUUUUAGGUUGGGG
This 206-nucleotide ribosomal RNA is filed under the name Boophis andohahela. RNAcentral describes it as "partial 16S ribosomal RNA". Lineage: Eukaryota; Metazoa; Chordata; Amphibia; Anura; Mantellidae. The record is from RNAcentral.